GAUGAACGCUGGCGGCGUGCCUAAUACAUGCAAGUCGAGCGAACAGAUGAGGAGCUUGCUCCUCUGACGUUAGCGGCGGGGGGGUGAGUAACGCGUGUAUAACCUACCUAUAAGACUGGGAAAUCUUCGGGAAAGCGGAGCAAAUAGCGGAUAAUAUCUUGAAGCGCAUGGUGGAAUAGAGAGAGACGGUUUUGCUGUAACGUAUAGAUGGAUCCGCGCCGUAUUAGCUAGUUGGUACGGUAACGGCUUAGCAAGGCAACGAUGCGUAGCCGAACUGAGAGGGUGGUCGGCCACACUGGAACUGAGCCACGGACCAGACUACUACGGGAGGCAGCAGUAGCGAAUCUUCCGCAAUGGGCGAAAGUCUGACGCAGCAACGCCGCGUGAGUGAUGGAGGUCUUGCGUUCGUAAAAACCUGUUAUUAGGGAAGAACAACUGUGUAAGUAACCAUGCACGUCUUGACGGUACCUAAUCAGAAAGCCACGGCUAACUACGUG
This 497-nucleotide ribosomal RNA is filed under the name uncultured bacterium. RNAcentral's name for it is "partial 16S ribosomal RNA". It matches the Rfam family "Bacterial small subunit ribosomal RNA", at positions 28 to 507 of the family's 1533-position model. The record is from RNAcentral.